Molecule: ribosomal RNA, 308 nt
Filed under: uncultured bacterium
Lineage: Bacteria
Description: bacterial SSU rRNA
Rfam family: Bacterial small subunit ribosomal RNA
Source: RNAcentral
AUUGAACGCUGGCGGCAUGCUUUACACAUGCAAGUCAGAACGGCAGCACGGGGGCAAGCCCUGGUGGCGAGUGGCGAACGGGUGAGUAAUGCAUCGGAACGUGUCCUUAAGUGGGGGAUAACGCAUCGAAAGAUGCGCUAAUACCGCAUAAUCUCUGAGGAGAAAAGCAGGGGAUCGACAAGACCUUGCGCUUUUGGAGCGGCCGAUGUCUGAUUAGCUAGUUGGUGGGGUAAUGGCUUACNCAAGGCUUCGAUCAGUAGCUGGUCUGAGAGGACGACCAGCCACACUGGGACUGAGACACGGCCCAG